CCCUUAGAUGUCCUGGGCUGCACGCGCGCUACACUGUCGGAUUCAGCGAGUCAUAUCCUUAACCGAAAGGUUUGGGUAAUCUUUUGAAAGUCCGACGUGAUGGGGAUUGAUCAUUGCAAUUAUUGAUCAUGAACGAGGAAUUCCUAGUAAGCGCGAGUCAUCAGCUCGCGUUGAUUACGUCCCUGCCCUUUGUACACACCGCCCGUCGCUACUACCGAUUGAAUGGUUUAGUGAGAUCUUCGGAUUGGCGCCUACGCGGCUUCUCUGAGGCCACGCUGGAUGCCGAAAAGUUGCUCAAACUGUAUCAUUUAGAGGAAGUAAAAGUCGUAACA
Molecule: ribosomal RNA, 332 nt
Filed under: uncultured eukaryote
Lineage: Eukaryota
Description: partial 18S ribosomal RNA
Rfam family: Eukaryotic small subunit ribosomal RNA
Source: RNAcentral